GACGAACCGUCCGAACGUUAUUCGGUAUCACUGGGCGUAAAGAGUUCGUAGGCGGCCGUGUAUGUCAGGUGUGAAAUCCCACAGCUCAACUGUGGAACUGCGCUUGAAACCACACGGCUUGAGGAAGAUAGAGGGGAGUGGAACAUAUGGUGGAGCGGUGAAAUGCGUUGAUAUCAGCUGGAACACCGGUGGCGAAAGCGGCUCACUGGAUCUUUUCUGACGCUGAGGAACGAAAGCUAGGGUAGCGAACGGG
RNAcentral lists this unclassified non-coding RNA (253 nucleotides) under uncultured Pirellulaceae bacterium. RNAcentral describes it as "contains 16S-23S intergenic spacer region". It matches the Rfam family "Bacterial small subunit ribosomal RNA", at positions 524 to 776 of the family's 1533-position model. Lineage: Bacteria; Pseudomonadati; Planctomycetota; Planctomycetia; Pirellulales; Pirellulaceae. The record is from RNAcentral.